RNAcentral lists this unclassified non-coding RNA (8724 nucleotides) under Ooceraea biroi (clonal raider ant). RNAcentral's name for it is "brain tumor protein, transcript variant X1". The record is from RNAcentral. Lineage: Eukaryota; Metazoa; Arthropoda; Insecta; Hymenoptera; Formicidae.
UACUUAAAAACUCGUAUAUGCCGAGAAUAAGUUGGAGUUGCUAGUCGAUAGUCGCGCUAAACAGUUGAAGUGAUAAGGGUUAAAUUAUUCUUGCAAUACCGAUUGCAUUUGAGUAUCCAAUAGAAAAGAGAUUUCAAACAUUAUUCUAACUAUCGUGAUGGAAAAUGGUCCAGAAAAUAGCAGACAAGGAGGCUGCGAGAUACUGCGAGAUAUCAAGCACAGAUUCGGCUGGCUGCGCUGGUUUAAUGGCGAUUUCAUGCAGAACAGGCCGAAGAAAUCCUCGAAGGUUCGCACGAGCGGUAAAUAUCGCGGGGGCGUACGAACCUGCGCUCAGGUUCGCCUCUCUUCACCUCCGCACCCUGCUUUCGCACCCGCCAUUGCUAACCCCUCCUACGGGGUAGGUUUCGCAUCCCCGCCUCGCGUCUGUCGCCUCGUCGACUGCUUCGUCGACUGGCGUCAGCGCCGUCAACGUCGUCGUCGGCGUCGUCGUCUGAUCCUUGUCGACAUAAGUUCCGGCGACGAUAGAUCAGACGGAAGCGAAAUCGCACACGCACACGGCGAAAUCGCGUCCUCUCCCGCGCAUAUCGCAAGCACCCUCGCGCACUCGCGCUGCGCUCGGAAAAAUACCGGAAGUGCGGGGAGACUCGGUACGCUCGAGCGAUUUAGUGUUACUUGUUCUAUUGCUGUUAAUGAGUGUUUUUUCAAAAUAAAAAAAAAUAAGCGUUACCAAAAAUUUAAAACGGUCCUAAACGAGCGAACUGAUUUCAAAAGCUGUGAUUCUCGAUCUCGGUGGUGGUUUACAUCCUUGUCACGUGGCAAAUGUGUGAUGAAAACGCGUCGCAUGGCUGACCCAAGGUGAGUACAUUCGACAUGAUAUCCUGGUACAGUACCGUGAAGCCAUAAAUUUCGUAAGUAGCCGCCAUAAGAUUACGAGUAUUAUAUUUUGUAGGUAACAUAUAGGCUUUUACGCUGCUUGUCAGUAUGAGCUCGCUGUUUACGACUUUGCAUCAUAAUCUCGAAGAAUGCUCGGCAAUCUCUCAGAGCAACCUGAGAGUGCUUUAUAAAUGUCAGUCUCAUUCUGCACGCUAUCACAAUGUUUAUAUUACGAGAUAUCUUUUACAUCAGAGAAAGUUAUUCCAACGCGAGUUUCAUAAACAAAUAAUUAUUGUCAUUUAUUUUCUCUCAUUGUCACGCUGCAUACACAUCUCGAUUCUAAUAUGCGUAAACUCGUGCAAUUUAUAUUAACUCACAAUGAUGCAUUGUUUUGUACUCUAUAAAGGAAAAUCUUACAUUUUUUUUCUUUAUAAAAGGGACUUUUGAUUGCGAAAAUUGGACAAAGUUUGAAAAAUUUCGACAAAUUUCCAUUACUCUGCGAAUAAUCAAUCACACUUUGCAGUAUUAUAAAACAUUAUUUUCUUUGAUCCUGCAAGAAGAUAGUCUUUCUCUCUAUAGUCUUUAGUCUCAUAAUCUUAGCUAUUUUCUGAUUUUAUUUGUUGAUGUAAAAUCCAAUUUUCAUGUCAUUCUUAUUGCAAAUAUGAGGUGAAUCGCCGCAGAGGUUGCUAGAUCUUGCAAAUGAUUUUAUAAUCUUGGCAGGCCCUCUGAUUUUAUUCCCCUGUCUUCCUGCAAGUAUAUCUGCACCUCGUAAAAGGCAAUUAAUCUCGCAAUUAAUGCCGAAUGUUACCAUCGCGAAGGUUAUCCAAAGGGUUAUCCUAACGCCGUUAGGUCUCUAAUAAGUAUCUCCGGUGAUGUGGCAGACGCGGAUAUGUUAAUAAAUCGGUUGGCAAUGCCUGGUUAAUUUGCAUACUAUGUGAGCUGAACGUAAUUUAUCGCAUCUCGAGGAACUUUGUAACGCGUGACAAACUUUAUGAACGUAGACUUUUCAACUUUUAACGAUUAAACGUUAACCAUAAUUCAAGUCGUAAUUCAAAGGUUUUUUUACAACGAUUCGAUAUAUCAUAUUCAAGUAUAUUCUCCACGAUAUGGAGCUUUAAUGCAAACAGGACUUGACACGCAUCUCCUUCAUUAUAAUUUAAAUUAAACUCGCAUUAAAAGUUAUUUUUCACUCUAACGAGUUGCGUUAAUGAUAAUGUCAUGAGUGAGUGCAAUAUUACGCUACCUUUCAUCGUAAAAUCUUUUGACGUGAUUAAUUGAAAAUAAAUAAUCUAUUUCUAAAACCAUUAAUAAUACGUUGAUGACCUUAGUAAUAAAAGUGUAAGUGUUUUAUCGGUUGUCAUCUCAAGCAACUUAAUCGAAUUGACAAUAAUCAUGUAACAGUAUAAAUCACAAGCCGGGUGAUAGCGAAUACACGUCAAUGUAAAUCGCCAGAAUAAGUCUUAUCAAAGACCGAUGAAUUUUUGACGCAUUUCGUCAGAUUGCAUGACGAAGAACAGCUCCGACUAAAUUAUUCCGAUGUAACUUUUUCACGCCGAGCAUGAACCAGCUGCAAACUUGUAAAGCAAUGUUCACAGAGAUGAAGGAAGCUACGAUAUGAUGUACUCCACAUACAUGCAGGACACGGAAAAGCAAUAUCGCAUGUUUCGUGUUCGUUUGGCGAUAUACAUGGAUAGGAAUCAAGCCGUUGUUUCCUCGCAAAUCUUCCGGAAUCCAAAUAGCUCGGAUCGAUUCGCUAGACACCUACCGUGGUAUUUCUUUACACAAGGUUCGCGAACGCGAUGUACCAUGUGUGUACCAUAACUUAUUAUCAAUUCGCGUUACUCGAGUGACUCACGCGAUCCCUCGCGUCGGUCGGCGAUAAUUCAUCGUUGCGAGUUGCUGGUUGCAAGGUGCAUGCCUCCUGCCGGAUACCUCUCGCGGAGGCAUAUAAAUACGUAAAUCGCCGCCGCGUUGCUGCAGUAUUUCCGGAUUAAUCUUGCGCCCGCUGGUUAAUACGUGCUUAGGAUACCGCGGCAUAUGCUGCCCGUGGCUUUAUGCAAAUUGUGCGAUAACAUGGAAUAGUGAGCAGAAGAGUUGAUACGCCUCGAGAAUAAAAAAAGAAUCCAAAGCUUGUUUUACACGAAAGUUUUACGUCCCUCACGUGUAUCUUAAAAACUGUUAUUUUCUAUUUAUAAUAAUUUGCUUAAUUUCGUUUUAGGAAUAAUGCAAAUAAAUUUAAUACUGACGAUCGGUUUUGCCAAAAUGGAUGAGAAGUAUUUUUCGUAUUCAUAUAUCAUCGAAAUUCAUAACGUUUAAUUAAACUAAAUUACUUUGAAAUUAUUAUCUUAAUGUUUGAUUGUCUUCUUAUUAUUUUAAUUCAACGGAGAUAUUAAAGUACAUAAUAAUACUCCUUAAUCAGCCAUGUCCGCUGUUGUCGAAUCAAGAUGACGAGAGAGAAUGAAGGAUUCGCGUGUGGGUUUCUCCGUACGAUGAAAUUUCUCACGGUGAUUUACAUGAUCAAAGGGCUCGUAGGCGGUUCGAAUAAAGAAAAUCGAAGGUCACGUAGGGAGGCGGAUGUAUCUUUGGACCUGUGGCAUGUGUGCAGGGAAAGCAGCACCUACGCGAUACGGACCGGCAUUCUAAAAAUACGGGCUUAUUUUAGUGAGGAAGGGACGUACCCGCGUGAAAACGACACGCUAAGUAGUAUACGGGCCGUUUAAGCCGCAGCAGGAAGGUCACGAUGCACUUCGAGGCUGUGCAUCAUCGUGAAGAACGUGAACAAGAUGCUAUCCAUCGCUGAAAACUGCAUCUCGCGUAAACUCAAAAAAUAUUGAAAAUGCACGAGUUAUAGCCGCUCGUACGGAACGUCGCAAGUUUAUUGCUCAUACGUUUACGAAUUCUUCGACGCUUUCGAUUUUUUUCCUCUCAGCAAACGUGUAACUUAAUUUAAGUACCAUGACUACCUCUUUUGUGUCACAAAAUUACAAAAAGUUUUAGCUUUAUAUCAUUAUGCUUUAUAGCAUUAUGUCUACGGAGAAAGUUAAUGGAAAAUUAAUAGAAAAUUAAUAUCCAAGGACAAAAAAAUUCCAUCUAAAGGUGUGAGCAUCUCUGAACCCGACAAUACUGAUAAUGAUAUCGAUCGUAUGGGAGAUCGCGUGUGUACACGUUCUCUUGUCCCCGCGUGGACGACGUGUCAGCGCGUGCGGCGCCGGUCGUCGUGACGCCCUCUACCGCAGACGAUGAAGAAAGAAAUAGAAAUAGAAAGGAGCGCAUCGUUAGUGUUUAAUUAUUUCUACCGCAGUGCUCGUCCCACAGACGUAGGAGCGACCGCAAAAAAUAAAAUUUUCUCCGACCGUGGUCGCUGUCUGAAUGAUAAUGAACAUUGAUAGAGAGUCAGCUUGAGAAGAAAUUUCUUUUAGAGCGUAAUUACAUCUCUGGUAAUAAGGGAAGCAAAUUCGCUCCUCUUUUUAUUAAAGAAGCGAGUAUUAAUGUUCUUGUGAAGUAAAAAAUAUUUCGACAAUCUUUACGUUUAUUUUUAUCCUUGUUAAAAAUAUUUAUACCGAGAAAAAUAAAAUACUUAUUUAUCUUUGAUGCUCACUAACAAUCAAGGCAUUCGACAUUGCUUAUUUAUCUUUUUAUAUAUUUAUAUUUUCAAGUUAAUAUUAUUUAUGCUUUGUCAGAAAAUAUUUAAGUUUUGCACUCAGAAAUUAUAGCUUUUAAGUGUAUUAAAACUUACAUUGUUUUUUUAUGCUUCUGCGAUGUAGGAUAUUAUCGUAAUUAUUUCCUCUUUAGGGAACUUUAGAAACUUGUUCCUCAAUUCCGAUCUAGACUUAUUUUGCUCCUUUCAUGUACGAGCUGUCAAAUCGUGUGAAGAACUUUUUAGAAGUACUGUAACGGCUCUUAUCCAAUUUUCGAUCGUUGGAAUCCCGUGCUGUUAACGGACGCUGAUCUCGUUCCCGUGGCUCUUCGGCUUUCUCGCCAAUCAGUGCGCCAAGCUAAUUUUAGCCUCUAUCGAUUCCCACCUGGUUGAAUUCGGGCUAGCCUUUUGGUCGAAUGCGAUGGAUGAUACCGCAUUUAACACUGACAGAUGAAUCGUGCAUCAUGGAAGAUUGGCGUGUUGUGUGUAUGUGAGGAACGUUAAUUACAUUAUAAACAUCUUUUAACUCCUGGAAAGCGAACUUUCUUUCGAUAACGAUAUUUUUAGCAUCUUUAUAUUGAUUGCUGCACAAAAUUCAAACUUAUUUUAACAUGCAAAGAAUUAGCGUGCACUUUGUGUAGAACACGAGCUUAUAGAGUGCAUAAAUUUUAGUUUUAUGGUAGCGAAAAGCAUAAUCAUGUCUUGUAUCUUGCAAAGUAAAAAUCUUGGAGUAUUAGAUCAUGGACUAUUAGAUCUUGGAAUAUUAGAUGUUGAAGUAAGAGAAGUCAUUACGGCAUCCCAGAGUUUUGAAGUCUUAGAAUCUUGGAAUCUUGAAACUUUGACAUCGAUGACAACUGCUGCGAAACCUUGAAACCCUAAAAGCCUGAGACUUCGAUUGGUUCAAACGUUACGACACUUCAUGCCUUCGAGUCUUGAAAUCUCGAAUACUUGGGACACUAACUUGGAAUGUAAUUUUUCAUAUUCUCUCUGUGUAAUACAGACAAAAUUUUUUUAUUAAAAAAAAUGAGAAAUAUCAAUUGGGAUACAUCAUCGUGAUUUGUUCGAAAGACAAAGCUAGUGCUAGCAGUUUUCUUAUUUGAUCUAUAAUAUCCAUAAUUUCGCUUCGAAAAAAUUAAAAAAUUUAUUGAUUGCCUUGUAUUUCUGCAACAAAUUGCAAUAGUAAUAAUAACAAUCUAAUAACAGCAAUAAUAAUAUAAUAAUAGCAACCUGCGAAAAGAAUAUGCUGCAACGGUUUUCGCAGAAACCGUCUUAUCUCGAGCAACCUAGAACAUUGCGUAAUGCUAUAAAUAAAUGAGCUACACUCUCGUUUAACAUUAUAUAUAUCAGCUGGUACGUACCCAGCAUAUCGAUCGAUGUCUCUGACACAACGUGCGUCGUUGUAAACAACCUGGACGCAGUGAAACGAGUCAGAGAUAAUUUCCGCUCUUUUCACGACGCUUUAGAAAGCUGAAUAUCACAUAAAUAGCAUCGACGUGUUGUUCGCUAAUGUGUAACCAGUCCCUGAAUUGUCGUUAAUCGAUCGCACCGAUAGUUAUCUUAGCGUAAAUUCGAUUCUAUGAGAAACCAUUAAUUAAGUUCGAUAAAAUUAGAAUUACACUCUCUAAUUAAAAAUAACGAAGAAUGAAUAUUUUUUGAAUAUACACGAAAUACUGUAAUGAAAAACAUUGAACGAUCGUUCAUUAUAUUACACAAGAACAAUUUAUCGCAGUAGAAUUCCUCGAUCUGGAUAUUAUUAUGCACAUAAAGCUUAUGCUGUUAAUGCAUAAAUAAGUAGCUAGCCAUUUCAAAAGCUUUUGUGACGCGGACAAGGUAAUUAAGAAAGUCCCUGCUUCUGAGAAAAGAUUUUCUGUGCUUUAAAAUAGCCCCAGGCGAUCCCAUUUCCAAUAAGUGGAACGAGCUUUCAUAAAUUAAUAAUCCUUUGGAAUUCAGCACGCAAAGCAGCAGCGUGCGCAACAUCUCUUCUCAUUAAAAUUGCAUUCCAUGUUUAUGUUUCCGCAGCCGGACGAUCCGCGCCAUUUCGUUUUACGGUAUACCCGAUGGUGUGUAACAUAGCACGAAAGUAAAUUUCAGGAGCUACCGGCCAUCGCUGAAAGAUUGAUCACAAGACCGAGAGAUGCAGCUUCGACAUAGCAUUUUCUGCUCAGUAUGCCACAAGUGUAAAUUCCUCAUCACGUUCGCACCUCGUGAAAAUGCAUCUCAAGGCGUCAAGAAAACGCCCCGGAAUUCGCUUACAAAAAAGUAAUAAAUUAAUAAAUGUAUUAAAAAUGUUGAGACACGUGUUCACGAGUUCCAAUGGUUAUUGAGACAAGCGCGAGAAAAAAGAAGUAAUUGUAGCCUUGCAGUGAUGAAAGUGAUACUAAAAAUAGAAAAAUAAAAAAAUUAACUUAAUAACGGAAGAACAAAUAUCUUGUGCAAGAAAUAUCACUUAUAUAAAAUUCUCGAAAUAUAUAAAAGCCACGUUAUCAUUUUUGUAAAUUUUAUAGCAGAAUUUCCUUAAAAAUUUCCUGUAAAUCGAAAUUAACUUGACUUUAUUAAUUCAGUAGAAUAGAAGAGAGACAGAAAAUAUAUUAUCUAAAUAUUCAGGCACGUUUAAUUUUUUGGUUAAGAAAUAAUUAAUAAAUUAUCAAAGGCGAUGCUGUCGGCACACGUCUCGCGAGUGCCAAGUUAUGUAAUUCACCGUUAACUUGCACAAACUCUUCUCUUAAUAAGGAACAAGCGAAACUUGUUACACAGGUAAUCCUAACGUCUAACGUCAAAGUGCGCGGGCCGCGGACCGUUCAUUAUUAUUUUACCGUGAGAAACUGUUCGCGCACGGCGAACACUGCAUUACAAUUAGCAUUGCGGCCGUCGUAUGUUAAUUAAAGUAAUAACCGAGAUACGCUCGGCCGCCCCGAAGUCAGAACACUUUAAUCCGGCGUUCCGCGCCCCGAGAAAAUAUUAUACGCGGCGAUAAAACUUGUUAUUGUUAAGUUGGGUCGGAAAAAUUGCAGCUGCGCCCAAGCGCUGAAUUUCUCGGCAAUCGCAUUAAUUGCGGAAACGCGACUUGCAUCGCGUGCUAUUAUCAUUUCUCCACACUCCUCCGUACUUUGCUCGAGAAGUAAGAGUUUCAUUUCCUGAAAUGUCAGUUAAGUCAAUUUGAUUCACGUCAUGUUUAUGUCGUCAUUUGCAGGACCUUAGUCUUGAUUCGAAUUAUCUUGUAAGGGCUAAACGUACAUGGAAAAUCUCGUUUAAUUUAUCACGUAUAAAUCUCUUUAUAUUAUCCACCAUCAAUUUUAUUUGUUCCGGAUAGAAGAGAAAUCAUCAUUGUGUUGUCGAGACUUGACGAGCUAUCUCCUUCGUCAUUGCUUGUAAUCAUUAGUGUUCCACAGGUGUGUGCUUUUUGUCGAUGCCUCUCGUAAAGCUUCUCAUCUUUCCUUGCUUCCCCUGACCCGGUUGCUUAAAACGCUUGUUCUUCUAUGAAGCUUUUUAUGCCUUUCGUGUGUUAAAACACAUCCUAAAGCGCCACUUUGCCGUAAAUUCGUACAUCAGCGACUCAAAUGGGCAAGAAUCAUUCUGUAUGCGCGUCUUUUCGCUGACUUUUGUUAUUCCUUUAACUUAUUUGUUGAAAGAUUAUUGAAUGUCCGAAUGUUCAGCAUUAUUAACAUCAUUGUGGAAGGAUCGUACAUACUUUGCACAUUUCUGCAACAAUAUAUUUUUAUUAACACAUACAAGCAACGAUUAAAAAAUAAUGUUGAAGUACACAGAAUAAAUUAAUCUUUUGUUGUUUGACGACAAAGAUAAAUUAUGCAUGAUGUUAGCCGGUCGAGACCGAUUCGAGACUUUUGAAACAACGUUAAUUACUUGAUGGUCUUAAUUGAAAUCUUACUUAAGGAGAGCACUUCGAGCUUGUUUCUGAAAUUAGUGGCUUCCGUUCUCCCACGUCAUGCAUUCACACGUCAUCUUGAUGUCGUCAUGCAUGGUGAUCGAUACAAUACUAUUACUUAUUUCGGAGUGACUGUUAUUCAUUACAAUUUGGAAGGAGACAAGCUAUUCUUAUGUAUCACUUAUCUCAAUUUUUAAUUUAUCUGAUUGUAAAGAUUUUACGUAAAUAUGCGAAGAAUUUAUAUCUGAAUUUUGUUUUUAAAUAUCUUUCUAAUAGAAUAUAAUAUUAUAAUGGAACGUGAUGCAAGUAAUUUAUCAAUCAAUUUAGAAAA